RNAcentral lists this ribosomal RNA (206 nucleotides) under uncultured bacterium. RNAcentral describes it as "partial 16S ribosomal RNA". It matches the Rfam family "Bacterial small subunit ribosomal RNA", at positions 1296 to 1500 of the family's 1533-position model. The record is from RNAcentral.
GAUUGCAGGCUGCAACUCGCCUGUAUGAAGUCGGAAUUGCUAGUAAUCGUGGAUCAGCAUGCCACGGUGAAUACGUUCCCGGGCCUUGUACACACCGCCCGUCACACCAUGAGAGCCGGGAACACCCGAAGUCCGUAGUCUAACCUAUAUGGAGGACGCGGCCGAAGGUGGGUUUGGUAAUUGGGGUGAAGUCGUAACAAGGUACC